Long non-coding RNA from Mastomys coucha (southern multimammate mouse), 1749 nucleotides. RefSeq lists it as uncharacterized. The transcript has 12 exons. The record is from RefSeq and is a predicted model, not a curated record. Lineage: Eukaryota; Metazoa; Chordata; Mammalia; Rodentia; Muridae.
GUUGGCUAUCAACUGCCAGGCAGGCAGCCUGCCUUGAAGAGUAGCUGUUUCCCCAGAUUCCCUGAGGCCCAUGGGGAGGCAUUUGAUGAAGACGUCACUUAGGGAUGAGUGUUCCAAGCAAAGAAGUUAAUUCUCCUCACCAAGGGCAAAGGAAUAAUCCCACCAGCAUCCACAGGAGUUGGAGUAGCCAACCAAGGGCUUCUCUGCAACUUUUUGAAUCCAGUGUGCAGGAAAUCUCUCUGUUAGGAGACCCAUUGCCCACUUCCUCUGAGCUUGAUGCUUCUGAGCCAGGAGAGGAAAGUCACAGGAGCAGAAGCUGGCUAAGGUCCUGUGGGCUGUGGUCCCACUGGUCUCUUGGGGAGCAUGCACACAGCAACAACUGCUUUGAGUGAACCACAUAAGGCCCCAGCCCUGGACAUAGCUCCAGUAAAGACGUGUGUCAGGACACUACCUGGUGCAGACUUCCAGCUCCUGUCUGCAAUCCUGCAUUUGUCAAUCACAUCCAUUCGUGCAUGGUCUCCUGAAAUAAUUAUCAGCUGGCAAGAUGACUCCAUGGGAUGUGAACACACCCCCUCGCCCCAAAUUCUCACAUCUGCUGCUUUGUAUACAUGUUGGGAAGAGCCAGUGAGAUUCUAGGGGUGCACUGUGCAGUAGUAGAUGAAGCAAGAGAUACCUGUGGCCACUGAGGAUGGACUGUCACAGAUAAGGCUCUAGCUGCAUCCUCCCUGCCAACAUGUGUCCAUUGUAUUUAAUACAUCAAUGACAACAAAUUUAUGUUGCUAAGCUCAAAAAAAAAAGGAAAGAAGCAAACCCCACCGAGAGCCUCCCUGGACUGCCCUUGUAGACACUGACCAAGCAAGGAAGAAUUCUGCUGUCUUCACAAGGAGCUGCAGCAUUUACCUGUUGAGUUUGCAUGUGUUGACGCAGAUAUGUACGGAUACAAGAAGGGUCACAGAACAUGAACCUUCAUGGGCACCAUCUUUUAGUGGCUGCACAGUACUUUAUUUUUUAACAACGUAUGGAGAAAAUAGGAGUAUCCUCAAGUUUCCUGCUUCUCUGGAACAAGUCUACCCUAAGCAACCAACUAGACUCUGUCUUCAAUAGCCUCUUCUUCACACCGGAGGGACCAAGCACUGCCUGGCUGUAGAACUUACAGGUGUGAGAGUCUAGGUGGUGCAGGAGGAUACAAGUGUCCUCUCUGCUGAGAGGAGAGGUCAUGGAGGAUCAGCAAGAGGCCGCUUCCUUAAGACCAUCAGAGCUUAAGAUCACCUUCCCAUCCUCCACCUACCAUAGUCAGCUAAAGGAACUGUGCAGGCACCUCCUUCUUCCAUGGUGGAGGUAAAGAAGAAGCAGGUGGAGAGCCAACCACAAAGGAUCAUUAGCCCCAUAAGACAACACACAUCAGGAAGGCUGCUCUGGAAACAGAGGCGCUAGAGAUAGACCAAGUUUGCAGCUCCUGCUGAAAUACGACUUGACAGCGGCCGCAUUAAAGAUGUAUGCCAUUGUAUUCAACAAAGAUUAAUGAAGCCCGGUAAAAAUAGCUGUAAAAGAGAAAGUGAUCCGAAUGUAAAAUCAGUGAAUUAAAUGAGGCCGCGCAUACCAUUUGUUAAUAUGCAUGAGGAGGGAGGCAGCGAAUGAAACUGUCUCUAUGCAAAGUUCAUUUGAGAAUGUUUCAAUAUUGUCUGGAUAUCUCCCAACUAUUGAUGAAACCUAGUGGAGCCAGGUUUCCACACAGACGGGGUGUCCCCA